RNAcentral lists this ribosomal RNA (235 nucleotides) under Glomeromycotina sp. RNAcentral's name for it is "partial small subunit ribosomal RNA". The stretch from base 40 to 235 matches the Rfam family "Eukaryotic small subunit ribosomal RNA", at positions 686 to 885 of the family's 1831-position model. Lineage: Eukaryota; Fungi; Glomeromycota. The record is from RNAcentral.
GGGUCAGUAGGUUGGUCGUGCCACCGGUACGUACUGGUCUCACUGAUUCCUCCUUCCUGAAGAACCGUAAUGCCAUUAAUUUGGUGUUGCGGGGAAACAGGACUGUUACUUUGAAAAAAUUAGAGUGUUUAAAGCAAGCUAACGCUUGAAUACAUUAGCAUGGAAUAAUGAAAUAGGACGAUCGAUCCUAUUUUGUUGGUUUCUAGGAUUGACGUAAUGAUUAAGGAUAGUUGGG